GCCCCUGUAGCUCAGAGGAUAGAGCAGCGGUUUCCUAAACCGCGUGUCGUGAGUUCGACUCUCACCAGGGGUACCA
Molecule: transfer RNA, 76 nt
Filed under: Dehalococcoidales bacterium
Lineage: Bacteria; Bacillati; Chloroflexota; Dehalococcoidia; Dehalococcoidales
Also listed under: 2 other names
Description: tRNA-Arg
Rfam family: tRNA
About the family: Transfer RNA (tRNA) molecules are approximately 80 nucleotides in length.
Source: RNAcentral